ACCUAUGAUCAAUGGACCUAUCCAUAGAGCCUAUGUCAUUCACAUGGGAAACUCCUAACAAGACUGGAACAAAAAAAUCCCAGAAGUGUUAUUAAAGAGACCAACACUCAUGCAGAGACCAACAACAUUUGCCGACGAAAAUGGGAAACAAAACAUCAUAUUAGUAAUCCCAUUUAUAGAACCAACAACUACAACAGAACCAACAUAGACCAACGGCCAACAUCAGCAGAACAGAUUAUUAUUGUCCUUUGUAUUUGUUUUCUCCUGAUUGUGGUUGCUGCUCUAUUAGUUUGCACUUCAACACACUGGAAAAGGGAAGCUUUGGACGGUUGUUAUUGUAAAUGAGUAUACACAUGUGAACGUUGGUAAAUCCAGUGAAUAGCUGAUGGAGGAAGUUAUUUACAGUGACCUGGUGAGCCUAUAGGGCCUGACACCAAACCUUCAAUAGCCACAGAGAUUACUGCCAGCACUGGAAUCGGAAAUUCUGAAGUUUCAAAUGAUUUAUAAUGCACAAAUAUGCAUGUUUUUAGUAUUGGAAUCCUUUUAACUUUAAUGUGUUUGUAAUGAGGCUACUAAAGGUGUAAAUAAAUAUGUUAGAUUUCUAUCAA
Molecule: long non-coding RNA, 608 nt
Organism: Esox lucius (northern pike)
Lineage: Eukaryota; Metazoa; Chordata; Actinopteri; Esociformes; Esocidae
Exons: 5
Source: RefSeq, a predicted model, not a curated record